CUCGAGGUAUCUGCUUGGGACUCCCUCCUCCAAGACAUCGCCCUUAUGCCGAUGAACGUCGAGGAGGACCUGGAUGCCCUUUCCUGGCACCUUGAGCCAUCUGGCCGCUUCUCCACGAAGUCCUUGUACGCCGCCAUUGCGCCCUCGGCGGCUCCGGAGCCCUUUAGCCUGAUCUGGGACAUCCGCCUACCUCUGAAGAUCAGGAUUUUCCUUUGGCAAUGGAUCCAUGGACGCCUCCCCUCUGGGGUUGAAGUCCUCAAGCGUAACGGCCCGGGCGAUGGGAUGUGUUCCAUCUGUGGCACGAUCGAGGAUGCUAACCACAUCUUCUUCUCGUGCUCUACUGCCCAGUUCCUGUGGGCUUGCUUCCGCGAAACGGUCGGUGGACGGUGGUGCAAUACCAACUUCCCCGACUUACUUGUGGAGCUCAGCGCUUCCCCUACCCGCUACCGCCAUAUUAGAUGGCUGUGCGUUGGGGUUCUCGCCUGGACGCUUUGGAACAUUCACAAUAAGCGUGUUAUUCAGAAGGUGCCUCUCCGACGUGCGACUGACCCAAUCUUCAAAAUGUGUGGUUACUUGCAGCUUUGGAGGCCGCUUAGCCGCCCUCAGGACAGGGAUGUCAUCACCACCCUCCUCACCGACCUCCGCUCGAUGGCGCUCCACGUGGCACCCCUGCUGCCGCCCCCUCCCCCAGAGCCGGACUAG
This 702-nucleotide ribosomal RNA is filed under the name Triticum aestivum (bread wheat). RNAcentral's name for it is "partial small subunit ribosomal RNA". Lineage: Eukaryota; Viridiplantae; Streptophyta; Magnoliopsida; Poales; Poaceae. The record is from RNAcentral.